Molecule: ribosomal RNA, 460 nt
Filed under: uncultured bacterium
Lineage: Bacteria
Description: partial 16S ribosomal RNA
Rfam family: Bacterial small subunit ribosomal RNA
Source: RNAcentral
CCUACGGGAGGCAGCAGUGAGGAAUAUUGGUCAAUGGACGAGAGUCUGAACCAGCCAAGUAGCGUGAAGGAUGACUGCCCUAUGGGUUGUAAACUUCUUUUAUAUGGGAAUAAAAUGUUCCACGUGUGGGAUUUUGUAUGUACCAUAUGAAUAAGGAUCGGCUAACUCCGUGCCAGCAGCCGCGGUAAUACGGAGGAUCCGAGCGUUAUCCGGAUUUAUUGGGUUUAAAGGGAGCGUAGGUGGAUUGUUAAGUCAGUUGUGAAAGUUUGCGGCUCAACCGUAAAAUUGCAGUUGAUACUGGCAGUCUUGAGUACAGUAGAGGUGGGCGGAAUUCGUGGUGUAGCGGUGAAAUGCUUAGAUAUCACGAAGAACUCCGAUUGCGAAGGCAGUUCACUGGACUGCAACUGACACUGAUGCUCGAAAGUGUGGGUAUCAAACAGGAUUAGAUACCCCUGUAGUC